This 460-nucleotide ribosomal RNA is filed under the name uncultured bacterium. RNAcentral's name for it is "partial 16S ribosomal RNA". It matches the Rfam family "Bacterial small subunit ribosomal RNA", at positions 338 to 795 of the family's 1533-position model. The record is from RNAcentral.
CCUACGGGAGGCAGCAGUGAGGAAUAUUGGUCAAUGGACGAGAGUCUGAACCAGCCAAGUAGCGUGAAGGAUGACUGCCCUAUGGGUUGUAAACUUCUUUUAUAAAGGAAUAAAACGAGGCACGUGUGCCUUUUUGCAUGUACUUUAUGAAUAAGGAUCGGCUAACUCCGUGCCAGCAGCCGCGGUAAUACGGAGGAGCCGAGCGUUAUCCGGAUUUCUUGGGUUUAAAGGGAGCGUAGAUGGGUUGUUAAGUCAGUUGUGAAAGUUUGCGGCUCAACCGUAAAAUUGCAAUUGAUACUGGCAGUCUUGAGUACAGUUGAGGUAGGCGGAAUUCGUGGUGUAGCGGUGAAAUGCUUAGAUAUCACGAAGAACCCCGAUUGCGAAGGCAGCUUACUAAACUGUGACUGACAUUGAUGCUCGAAAGUGUGGGUAUCAAACAGGAUUAGAUACCCCAGUAGUC